RNAcentral lists this ribosomal RNA (458 nucleotides) under uncultured bacterium. Its description in RNAcentral is "partial 16S ribosomal RNA". It matches the Rfam family "Bacterial small subunit ribosomal RNA", at positions 338 to 795 of the family's 1533-position model. The record is from RNAcentral.
CCUACGGGAGGCAGCAGUGAGGAAUAUUGGUCAAUGGGCGAGAGCCUGAACCAGCCAAGUCGCGUGAGGGAGUACUGCCCUAUGGGUUGUAAACCUCUUUUGUCGGGGAGCAAAAGCCGGACGUGUCCGGCUGUGAGAGUACCCGAAGAAAAAGCAUCGGCUAACUCCGUGCCAGCAGCCGCGGUAAUACGGAGGAUGCGAGCGUUAUCCGGAUUUAUUGGGGUUAAAGGGUGCGCAGGCGGAUGUUUAAGUCAGCGGUCAAAUCGUGGGGCUCAACCCCAUCCAGCCGUUGAAACUGGGGAUCUAGAGUGUGCGAGAGGUAUGCGGAAUGCGUGGUGUAGCGGUGAAAUGCAUAGAUAUCACGCAGAACCCCGAUUGCGAAGGCAGCAUACCGGUGCACAACUGACGCUCAGGCACGAAAGCGUGGGUAUCGAACAGGAUUAGAUACCCCAGUAGUC